Carassius gibelio (silver crucian carp) is the source of this 771-nucleotide long non-coding RNA. RefSeq lists it as uncharacterized. The transcript is spliced from 3 exons. Lineage: Eukaryota; Metazoa; Chordata; Actinopteri; Cypriniformes; Cyprinidae. The record is from RefSeq and is a predicted model, not a curated record.
AGAUGUUAAAAGCAAGAGACAUGGGAGAGCAUCAUUCCUUUGAGAUUUUAUAACUCAAACCAACUUUGGAGUUGUCUGAUUUGGAGAGUCAUUACUCUUGGUCUUCGCUCUUAGAGGCCACUGAUGAAGAACAGGCGGUGACUGGGAUGAAUCCUGGUCAGAGAGGAGAAUCUUCUUUCCCCUAAACUGCAGCGGUGGUUUUAAAGGAGGACGCUGCCCUGGAUGAUGUAGAAGAUCUCACAUGCUGUGCAGAUGGGGUUUCUUCAUGAUUACAUCAGUUAUGCUAAAGAGAUCAUGAAAAUUGACCGUGAUGCAUGAUCUGUAUUCAUGGACUAUGAAACAAACUGUAAGUGUAUAAUUUGUUAAAAAAAAAAAAAAGUUAAAUGCUUUUUCUGUGUUGUUUAGUAGAAGAGUUUACACUCUGUCAUUCAUACACCUGCUCACAUUCUUUCACACACACACACACACACACAUGCGUCUGUUAAAUGUUAUAAUAUCAAAGUUAAUGUUGUGAUUUAUUUGUGUACUGUCAUGCCAGAAUAGUUGGAAAAAAACUUAACUAAUUGUAAAUUUAUAAUAUUUGUUUUCGUAUAUUUUAAUACAAUAUAUACAAUUGAACAAAGUCCAAUUUGAUCUUAAGUUAUAUUCAUCAAAUGUUCAAUGCUUUAUGAACUCUGUAGCUGUUAAUGCCAUCCUUUUCUGCAUUUCUUCUAACAUGUUACUUUUUGACUUUUCUCUUGUUUUUAAUAAAUAUUUUCCUUUUGGUAAUUA